CACGACUACAUUAGAUACCCGUGUAGUCCUAGCCGUAAACGAUACUCGCUAGGUGUCGGCCACGGUGCGACCGUUGUCGGUGCCGUAGGGAAGCCGUGAAGCGAGCCACCUGGGAAGUACGGCCGCAAGGCUGAAACUUAAAGGAAUUGGCGGGGAGCACCACAACGGGUGGAGCUUGCGGUUUAAUUGGAUUCAACGCCGGAAAUCUUACCGGGACCGACAGCAACAUGAAGGCCAGGCUGAAGACUUUGCCGGAUUAGCUG
Molecule: ribosomal RNA, 263 nt
Filed under: uncultured archaeon
Lineage: Archaea
Description: partial 16S ribosomal RNA
Rfam family: Archaeal small subunit ribosomal RNA
Source: RNAcentral